RNAcentral lists this transfer RNA (61 nucleotides) under Camelus dromedarius (Arabian camel). It matches the Rfam family "tRNA", at positions 6 to 65 of the family's 71-position model. Rfam says of the family: Transfer RNA (tRNA) molecules are approximately 80 nucleotides in length. Their secondary structure includes four short double-helical elements and three loops (D, anti-codon, and T loops). RNAcentral also lists the same sequence under 1 other name. Lineage: Eukaryota; Metazoa; Chordata; Mammalia; Artiodactyla; Camelidae. The record is from Rfam by way of RNAcentral.
UAUAGCUUAGUGGUAGAGUGCAUGCUUAGCAUGCACAAGGUCCUGGGUUCAAUCCCCAGUA